AUUAAACGCUGGCGGCAUGCCUUACACAUGCAAGUCGAACGGCAGCGACGGGGGCAACCCUGGUGGCGAGUGGCGGACGGGUGAGUAAAGCAUCGGAACGUAUCCUGGAGUGGGGGAUAACGUAGCGAAAGUUACGCUAAUACCGCAUAUUCUGUGAGCAGGAAAGCAGGGGGAUCGCAAGACCUUGCGCUCUGGGAGCGGCCGAUGUCGGAUUAGCUAGUUGGUGGGUAAAGGCCUACCAAGGCGACGAUCCGUAGCGGGUCUGAGAGGAUGAUCCGCCACACUGGGACUGAGACACGGCCCAGACUCCUACGGGAGGCAGCAGUGGGGAAUUUUGGACAAUGGACGCAAGCCUGAUCCAGCAAUGCCGCGUGUGUGAAGAAGGCCUGCGGGUUGUAAAGCACUUUCAGUGGGGAAGAACAGGUUCGGGUCAAUACCCCGG
RNAcentral lists this ribosomal RNA (442 nucleotides) under uncultured bacterium. RNAcentral's name for it is "bacterial SSU rRNA". It matches the Rfam family "Bacterial small subunit ribosomal RNA", at positions 29 to 471 of the family's 1533-position model. The record is from RNAcentral.